RNAcentral lists this ribosomal RNA (391 nucleotides) under Triparma sp. Its description in RNAcentral is "partial small subunit ribosomal RNA". It matches the Rfam family "Eukaryotic small subunit ribosomal RNA", at positions 582 to 975 of the family's 1831-position model. Lineage: Eukaryota; Bolidophyceae; Parmales; Triparmaceae. The record is from RNAcentral.
AUUCCAGCUCCGAUAGCGUAUAUUAAAGUCGUUGCAGUUAAAAAGCUCGUAGUUGGAUUUCUGGUGGGGACGUUUGGCCGGCCGUAACGGUUUGCGCUGAAAUGUUCUUCGCCAUCCUUGACGAGUACUGGUUCGCCAUUAAGUUGUGUGGGCUUGGAGUCGUCAUCGUUUACUGUGAAAAAAUUAGAGUGUUCAAAGCAGGCUUAUGCCGUUGAAUACAUUAGCAUGGAAUAAUAAGAUAGGACCCUGGUACUAUUUUGUUGGUUUGCGUACCUAGGUAAUGAUUAAUAGGGACAGUUGGGGGUAUUUGUAUCCCGUUGUCAGAGGUGAAAUUCUUGGAUUUACGGAAGACAAACUACUGCGAAAGCAUUUACCAAGGAUGUUUUCAUUA